UAUACAGGGGGUACCGGUACAGAGUCAAUGUGGAGGCUAUAUACAGGGGGUACCGGUACAGAGUCAAUGUGGAGGCUAUAUACAGGGGGUACCGGUACAGAGUCAAUGUGGAGGCUAUAUACAGGGUAUUACGGUACAGAGUCAAUGUGGAGGCUAUAUACAGGGGGUACCGGUACAGAGUCAAUGUGGAGGCUAUAUACAGGGGGUACCGGUACAGAGUCAAUGUGGAGGCUAUAUACAGGGGGUACUGGUACCGAGUCAAUGUGGAGGCUAUAUACAGGGGGUACCGGUACAGAGUCAAUGGGGAGGCUAUAUACAGGGGGGUACCGGUACCGAGUCAAUGUGGAGGCUAUAUACAGGGGGUACCGGUACAGAGUCAAUGUGGAGGCUAUAUACAGGGGGUACCGGUACAGAGUCAAUGUGGAGGCUAUAUACAGGGGGUACCGGUACAGAGUCAAUGUGGAGGCUAUAUACAGGGGGUACCGGUACCGAGUCAAUGUGGAGGCUAUAUACAGGGGGUACCGGUACAGAGUCAAUGUGGAGGCUAUAUACAG
RNAcentral lists this long non-coding RNA (554 nucleotides) under Salmo salar (Atlantic salmon). Its description in RNAcentral is "lncRNA (ENSSSAG00000081904.1, ENSSSAG00000117717.1)". Lineage: Eukaryota; Metazoa; Chordata; Actinopteri; Salmoniformes; Salmonidae. The record is from RNAcentral.